GGGCCCGCACAAGCGGUGGAGUAUGUGGUUUAAUUCGAUGCAACGCGAAGAACCUUACCAGGGUUUGACAUCCUGCGAAUCUCUUGGAAACAGGAGAGUGCCUUCGGGAACGCAGUGACAGGUGGUGCAUGGCUGUCGUCAGCUCGUGUCGUGAGAUGUUGGGUUAAGUCCCGCAACGAGCGCAACCCACGUCUUUAGUUGCCAGCAUUUAGUUGGGGACUCUAGCGAGACUGCCAGUGAUAAACUGGAGGAAGGUGGGGAUGACGUCAAAUCAUCAUGCCCCUUAUGACCUGGGCUACAAACGUGAUACAAUGGCUAUUACAGAGGGCCGCAAGUUCGCGAGGACAAGCAAAUCCCAUAAACCGUGGCUCAGUUCAGAUCGUAGGCUGCAACUCGCCUACGUGAAGGCGGAAUCGCUAGUAAUCGC
RNAcentral lists this ribosomal RNA (427 nucleotides) under uncultured bacterium. Its description in RNAcentral is "bacterial SSU rRNA". It matches the Rfam family "Bacterial small subunit ribosomal RNA", at positions 917 to 1345 of the family's 1533-position model. The record is from RNAcentral.